GCCUUCCCCGUGGCUCAGUUGGUAGAGCAUGGUGUUUGCAACGCCAGGGUUGUGGGUUUGAUUCCCACGGGGGGCC
Non-coding RNA from Salmo salar (Atlantic salmon), 76 nucleotides. Lineage: Eukaryota; Metazoa; Chordata; Actinopteri; Salmoniformes; Salmonidae. The record is from Rfam.